This is a long non-coding RNA of Aethalodelphis obliquidens (Pacific white-sided dolphin), 3837 nucleotides long. RefSeq lists it as uncharacterized. The transcript has 8 exons. The record is from RefSeq and is a predicted model, not a curated record. NCBI's taxonomy places the organism in Eukaryota, Metazoa, Chordata, Mammalia, Artiodactyla, Delphinidae.
GAUGAUUCACUUCAAAUAUAGGAUGGAAGGGAAAAUCUAACCAGAGAGAGAGAAAUUCUUCAAUCUGACCUAGUAAACGCCACUAGGUAAAGAGUGGAGAACACGUAAUGAUUGCGGAGAUGCUGUUAAUGAGGUCGUGGGCCUGGCGCAUAGAGGAUGCUCAAUCCGUGUCUGCUCCACACGCGCGGAACGGCGCCGGGUGGGAGGAGCGCAGCCUUCGCGGUUAGAGGGCCCGUCACUCAUGAGAAGCCAUCACUUCCUACCUUCUCUGUGCCUCAGCUUCUCGCCAGAGUCUAGGACACCUCAGGCACUCCAUCAUCGCUUGUUGAAUUCAUAGGACGUUACUUACCUCAUGGAACUUGUAGUCUCCUUGAAAAAUGAGACACAUGUGUCUGCAUCUAAAUAAGAUGUGAGACAAGCUGGGACCAAGGCCCGGUGCUAGUUCUACAGGAAAUCGAUGCUGUCAUACUUGAUCUUCCUCCUUGAAGCGACCUUAUGACGCUGGACAAACAGGACAAACAGCGGACGCCAAAACCACCCGUGUGGACCAACUGGGCUUGGGAAAUAUUCAUGGAGACCAGGGGAGGUUUUUUUCCUUAAAAGAAGCCAUCGGCUGGGGGAGUCAGGGUUCACCUGUGAGCUAAGACGGCACGUGGGCAGCCAGCCAUUCAUGCAUUUCGAUGGCAUCUGAGGGAGAGAUGCUGCUACUCACAGCAUAAUUCAAUGGAAGGCUCCUCCCCGGGAGGGGAGUGUCAGUGCCAGGAAUGACAUCAAAGUGUGGUGCUGUGGGAGUGUUGAAAGCCAGGGAGACACAACAUGGGACAGAUGCUGCUGGAGAAGGACACGUGAGCGGAGGUGCACGUGGGGCCACCGGCCUGUCUGCCUGCCAGACCAGAGAGGUACCCUCCUACUCACCUUGGAGGAUGAGGCCAGACUCUGAUCUCCCCACCCACCCUGGAAGAUGACGGAGGUUGGUACCACAGGAGAACAGCUCAGGCCCAUUACUGCGACCACCCAUCUAGGGCACCGUCUAGAAGUCGUUUUUGAUUAGAAGCUGACCUCAGAAGUACGCUCGCAUCAUUCUGAAAACAUCUGACAGCACCACAGAAACCGACGCAGAACGAGAAAGGACACAGUGGACGAAGGCCAGGACCAGGGCCUUCCCACACGGCUCUCCGGGCUGUCAUUGGCCUGAGUCAAAAUUGGGAUGCCGUCCCCUGUCAGACCCCCGGAUACCUGCAUUGACAUGGGGCCAGCUGGGAGUGAUAGUGGUGACUGUCAUCAUCGUGGUCGUCAUCGCAUGACACUGGCCGAUACUACUGAGUCCUUAUUACACCUGAAGGCCAGAAGUCCAAAAUCACGGUGUCAGCAGGCCGCGCUCCCUCCGAAUGUUCUAGCUUGGGAGGAAUCCUUCACUGCUUUCUCCGGUUUCUGGUGGCUCCAGGUAUUCCUGGGCUUGUUGCCUGAGAACCCCAACCUCUGCCCCCAUCUUUACGUGGCCUUUUCCUCCUCUUAUAAGGACACUUGUCAUUGGAUUUAGCCCCCCACCCCGAUAAUCCAGGGUGAUCUCGAGAUCAUUAAUAACGCCAAGGACCCUUUUCCCAAAUAAGGUAACAUUCACAGGUUCCUGGUGGGUAUUUGGGUGGGGGCCACCGUUCAACCUAAUACAGCCAAUAAGGCCUAUUUCCCCCCAUCAAGUGGGAGCUUCCUGAGGAUGGAAACUGUGCUCCUUCCUUCCUUCCUUCCUCCCUCCCUCCCUCUCUCCCUCCCUCCCUCCUUCCCUCUCCCCCUUCCCUCCUUCCCCAAAUAUUGAGGGAACAUCUGCCAUGUUCCAGGCUCAGUGCUGGGUCCUGGGGAGACUGAAGCAAUGCAAACAGGUCCAGUUCCUGCCCUCUCAGAGCUGACUUUGCAGUGGAGGGAGGUAGACCCAACAGAAGCAGUUACACCAUUGCUCAUGGCAGGCAGAACUACAAAAGAAGGGGGGAGGGGCAAGACCAGCAGGGUUGGGGGUGGGUCAGGGUGGACCAGCUCCAACCAGGGAGGUCAGGGAAGGCUUUGCAGAAGACGUGACACAUAGCUGGACCCUGGAUGCUGAGAAGGACCAGGUUGGAACCUCCCUCUCACUUCCUGGCUGUGUGAUCUUGGACAGUUGCUUUACCCCUCUCUGCCUCAGUUUCCUCGUGUAUAAAGUGGUGAUGGCAAAAACACAGUCUCCUGGAACCAUCCUGAGGACUGGGUGGGGUGAUGGGAGCCCGCCGCUCUGAGAGCUGUGAUGAGAGAAUAACCAGCGCAGGAAUGAGAACCGUUACUGUGCUGAAUUCAGAGUCGAGCAAAAGAGUUGAGGGAAGCAGAGGAACGGCCCCUCAGAGACAUCCACGCCCUGAUCCCUGGAACCUGUGAAUGGAUGCUACCUCGAGAGGGGGGAUUAAGGUUGCAGAUGGAAUUAGUCUUGCUAAUCGGCUGACCUUAUGAUCAGGAGACUAGCCUGGGGGAUCCAGGUGGGUCCCGUGGAACCACAAGAGCCCUUAAAAGUGGAAGAGGGAGGCAGCGAGAGAGGCUGGACCUGCCACUGCUGGCGCUGAAGACGGAGGAAGGGGCCAUGAGCCACGGCAUGUGAGUGGCCACCAGAAGCUAGAAAAGGCAGAAGAACCCUGGAGUUUGCAGAAGGAAUGCAGCCCUGCCAACACACUGAUUGUAGUGCGGAGGCUUCUGACCUCCCAGACUGUGAGAUGGUGACUCUCUGUUGUCUUAAGGCAUAAGUUUGUGGUAGUUUGUUAGUGCAGUUAUAGGAAACUCACAGGAGGACUGCGUCAUGGCAGCCUCCACCCGGCCUCCCUCUCAGGAGCAGAACAUGGCAGAAUGAGGACCAGCCUCAGACCUGCUGACGGGGUUAAAUCUAGUGGAACCCUGGCCCUUUGUAGAUGAGAAGAGACCGUCAAGAUCAUCUAGGUCCACAUUUCAGAGCGGGAUGUCCCCCACAUUAGUCCCGAGCAAUGUUCUGUUCAUAAUGGUCCCAUGGGUCAGUCGGUUAGGAAAUGCUGCAUACACUCUCUGGCUUUCAAGCAGUCACAGUACUCUUUUAUCUCUGAGAGGCUCUGAGAAGGCCUGCAGCAAAAAGCAAGAAAGGUUUUCUAACUUCCACUCAGCACUUCCAAAGGUACUGUAGCAUAAACCUUCUUCCUCCAAGUCUUCCCCCCAGAACUUGUACUAACAACUCAACCAAGCUUGUGUUUGGUGGAUGGGCUGAUCUACUCAAAUCAGUUCAUGAGACAAAUGGAGAAACUGAAGCCCAAACAGGUGGAGGUGCCCUGGAGAAGCAGUGCAGCUUCAACCAGCCACACGGCCCUGGGCAAGUCACAUCACCUCUCAGAGCCUCUGAUUCCUGAUGGAUAAAAUGCAGACAAGAGGGCCUGCUUUGCAGAACACCAUGGAUAGCUGUCUCCGUCCGUUGGGGCUGCUAUAACAAAGUACCAUAGGCUGGAGGACUUGUAAACAACAGAAAUUUAUUUCUCACAGUUCCAGAGGCUGGGAGUCUGAGCCCAGGAUGCCAGCAUGGGCAGGUCCUGGUGAGGGCCCUCUUCUGGAUUGCAGACUAUCCAUUUCUCCCUGCGUCCUCACGGGGUGGAAAGAGAGCUCUCUGGAGCCUCUUAUGUAAGGGCACUAAUUCCACCCAUGAGGGUUCCACCCUCAAGACCUAAUUACCCCUAAUUAGGUACCUCCUAAUACCAUCACAUUGGCAGCUAGGCUUUUAACUUGAGUUUUCAGUCCAUAAGCAAGGAAGUGGCCGUUGAAGUGGCCAGCACCCACCUGGUAGGUAGGUAGGCAAGAGUAGGUACU